AUCCUGUUGAUCUGUGACCUUACCCCCAACCCUGUGCUCUCUGAAACAUGUGCUGUGUCCACUCAGGAUUGAAUGGAUUAAGGGUGGUGCAAGAUGUGCUUUGUUAAACAGAUGCUUGAAGGCAGCAUGCUCCUUAAGAGUCAUCACCACUCCCUAAUCUCAAGUACCCAGGGACACAAACACUGCGGAAGGCCGCAGGGUCCUCUGCCUAGGAAAACCAGAGACCUUUGUUCACUUAUCUGCUGACCUUCCCUCCACUAUUGUCCUGUGACCCUGCCAAAUCCCCCUCUGCGAGAAACACCCAAGAAUGAUCAAUAAAAAAAAAAAAAAGAAAGAAAAAGAAAAUUGGAAAGGCUUCAGGAUUGUCAGUUAAAUAUAAUUGUUUUUGCCUGGGUCUACUGACAGACAGGUUUACAUUGUCUCUAUUACUUUUUUUUUUUUUUUUUUUUUUUUUUUUAAUUUGUUUUUUGUUUUUGAGCUGGAGUUUUGCUCUCAUUGCCCAGGCUGGAGUGCAGUGGUGAGAUCUCAGCUCACCACAACUUCCGUCUCCCAGGUUCAAGUGAUUCUCCUGCCUCAGCCUUCCGAAUAGCUAAACUACAGGUGUAUGCCACCAUACUUGGCUAAUUUUUGUGUUUGUAGUAGAAACAGGAUUUCACCAUGUUGGCUAGGCUGGUCUCGAACUCCUGACCUCAAGUGAUCUGCCCACCUUGGCCUCCCAAAGUGCUGGGAUUACAGGCAUGGGCCACCGUGCCCAGCCUAUUACAUGUUUUAAGGUCAUAAAACUGCUACUUCUGGAAUAUUUCUUAAACUUGCUUGAUUUGUCUAAAUUGAGCUAAAGCUGUAAGGUCUGGCUGCUGGGCUCCCUGAAACCUUGCACAUAUCUUACUGUAUGACUGUAUUUCGUUUUGAGUCUCUGGAUUCUGGGGUUUGGACAGAUGACCAUAGUGAGGCCUGCAGAAAUAUAUGCAUGUCCUCAGUGUUUGGACUGCCAGCUGCAAGGCAGAGCCAAACCCAAUAUGGCCCCAUCAUCCCUGGCUCAGCUGUGCUACCUGGCCAUGCUGGAAGGGGUUUGAUCUUCCAGGAAUUUGCUUCACAGCUCUUUCCUGUCCCAAGCUCUAUGCCUGAUGUGUAAAUUCAGGACCCAAAAGGGCACAAAAAAGCAAUAACUACUAAAUAUAAAGAAAACAACUCUGUAUACAGCAUGUAUAAAGAAAAGCAAGAUAUAUUUGGGGAGAUAAAAGUUGUAAAGGCAUUAAGAUGUGUGUUUGUUGAGAAAAAAUAAAUUUGUGCAUUUAAGAAGUUAAAAAAAAAAAUAACAGGUGGGACUGUUGGGGCUUCUAGGAAAUUAGCUAGCCAUCAGCUUGCUACCUUAGAUUCUUGGCAUUGUUUAAUUUAAAUGUUUGGUUUCAAUUAUUUGUGAGCAAACCAGAAUGUUCAUGGUAUAUAUUAGUCAUUGUGCUGGGUCCAGAUGUAAAUCAUGGCCCUGGGAAGCUGGUAUGCUGGGAAGAAUAACAACAGUCUGUAAGCCUAGCCUGCUGCCCAGCAGGUACAGGUCAACACUUGUCACCUAUCCUGACAUUCUCCAGGGAUAAUUUUUUUUAAAAAAUGGCUUUCUACAAGAUACACUCGUUGAAAAAUAAGCCGACUUGUGUUGGUGAUAAAAGGGAAGAGGAAGACAAGUCUAAGUGUGUGUUAGUUCUUAAGCCAAAAAACAGAAGUUUCAGAUCAACUGAAGAGUGGAAGAUUAGACUCAGUGGUGGCUCAGAGCCUAAAAGUGACAGACUCCACCUAAUUCCUAACGAGUAAUAAGAAAAAGCAAUCUAUAAAACCAUUUCAAGCAAUCAACAGCAACACUAAUAACAGAAAACACCUCUUUGGUAAGCGAGAGAAGAAACUUCAGAGACAUCAAAAAGUGUUUAAUGUGUAGCAUGAAGACGUAACCCUUAAUGGAAAUGGGGUUCUGGAGUAAGGCAAUUACCUGAACAAAGAUUUCCACACAUACAAAUUUAAGGAUCACGAAGGUCUCCAGCUGUCAGUCUGGAGAAGAUCAGAGGCCCCCCGGCCUCCUUCCACCAACCUGCUCAUCAAUUUCACGCCCCUCUCCCAGCCCAUCCCAAUUGGGACGUCAUAGUCGUGUGCCAUCUAGUGGUCAAUAUGAUUACUGCAUGUAACUGCCUGGGGCUUUCUGUUUUGGUUUUAUUAAGCUUUCACUAACUCAUUGUUAUAAUAUGUCUGGUGCUGAGAAUAUAAUAGAGAACACGAUAGACACGGCCCUUCCUUCAGGAACCUCACAGUAUAGCAGGGUGAAUUAAACACAUAAAAUACAAUAUGAGAGGUACAAUCAAGACAUAUUAAGGGAGGUAAGGGAGCCCUGAGGAAGGACACCUAAUCUAGAUUUGGUGAUUGGAGGAGGCUUCCCAGAGGGAGGGCCAUUAAUGCUGGGAUCUGAAGGAUAAGCAGAAGUUUGUUAAGCAAAGGAGGGGAAGGAAACAGACAGCAUUUCAGGCAGAAAGGUGAGGUAUGCCUAAAAGCCAGGUGUCAAGAGAGCACAACCAGCUCAUGUUGGGUGCAAAGCUUUGUUAAGAACUUUGAACUUGGCAGGGUGCGGUGGCUCAUGCCUGUAAUCCCAGCACAUUGGGAGGCUGAGGCAGGUGGAUCACCUGAGGUCAGGAGUUUUAGACCAGCCUGGCCAACAUGGUGAAACCCUGUUUCUACUAAAAAUACAAAAAAAAAAGUUAGGUGUGGUGACAGGUGCCUGCAGUCCCAGCUACUUGGGAGGAUGAGGCAGGAGAAUUGCUUGAACCUGGGAGGUGGCGGUUGCAGUGAGCUGAGAUUGCACCGUUGUACUCCAGCCUGGGUGACAGAGUGAGACUCUGUCUAAAAAAAUAAUAAUAAUAACUUUGAACUUCAUUCAUGGGGCUGUGAGAGCCAUUUCUUUUCAGGGACAAAUGAAGAAAGCCUAUAGAAUUUGAAUUUCUCCUGGGCCCUGGCUUAUACCUCUUACCUCUUAGAGUCCAGACACUCACAACCCACCCCCUGAAGAGUGGAAUGAUGUUAUUCUUUAAAUUUUUGUUUUAUUCCCAGACCUAGGGGGUCGGAUAUCUCACUCAGAGAGGUGUUGAGAGCCAGCAAGCCAGAGAGGCAGACUGCCCCUGGACAGCUGGGAGCAGAGGGUUGUAAGUGCACCGCAGAGUGGGUGGAAAUGAAAUCUUCAUGAAAUGCUCAGAGAAUCUGACAGGAAGCUUCCCUCUGCUAACACUGCUUUUCAAUGACUCUUAUCGACACAAACCAGCCAAAGCAAAAGAGGGAAUUUUGAGUUUAUUUAAUUGAAAAGGCCAAGGGUAGAUAUGAAUCUGGUGUAAACACUGCCAUCAGGAACCAGUCUCCAAUUCUCAGCUCUACUUCUGCCCAUCUUAGCUUUGUUCUCAGGCUGGCUUGCUCUAUGUAUUGACAAAAGUCAACCAGCAGCUCUAAGUGUAGUUCUGCAGGUAACAAGCCCAGCCCAGAGACAGCACCUCUCUCCUGAUAGCAUCAGCAAAAAUCUUGAGGCUGACGUUCAUUGGCUUAACUUUGGGCCACUUGCCCAUCUCUGAACCAAUCACUGUGACCAGAAAAAUGGAAUUUUCUGAUUGGCCAGAUCUGUUUCUUGUGUUCAAUUUUGCAUCCAGGGUUGGUUCAGCCCCACCCAAAUUACACGGAGUGAGCAUAAAGAGUUCCCUAAAUAAAAAUAAGGGCCCUGUUUCUGGGAGAAGAGAUGGAGGACAAGCCAAACAAAACUGAGGCAUCCUCAAUUUGCCCAUGUGUGAGACACCCUCUUGCCAUUGGUCCCUGGAGCCAGGCUGUUCUUGGGCGCCUGAACAUCCGUUUUCAGUUCUGCUGCAGCCCCCACAGGCUUGGUCCUUGGGAAGGGGAGUCUUCCAGCACUGGGUAGCAGGCAGGAGUCACCUCCCCCACAGAGAGCAGUGACACCACAGAUGGUGCUUGCUGAAAAGGCAGUUCUAGGGAGUAGCAGGCACAGGUGGUGCUGCACAAGCCCCUAGCUAGAUUCCCCUAAUGUCCUUCAAGAGAGGCUGUAAAAGGAGAAAAAGAAAAUCAGAGACUUUAUGAGGGUAGGGGAAUGAGGACAGGCUAAAAGACUACGACUCCUCAACCACGGCGGCUGCCGACCCUGGGGAGCUGAUGGCCCUGGACUAGGAGGCGCUAGGGACUAUGUCCCUGCUCUGCCACUCUGGCCCUCCCUUCACCCUAGAUCAUCCCGCUGCACCCCAGCCCAUUCUGAACUGUGCAUUCCUGUGAGCACGCUCCCUCACUCCCUCACUCUUGGCACACACACACAUCUCCCGGCCCUCGCACUCAUUCAACCAGCUUAGGGCCUACAGAGGGCCAUGCUCCAUGCCAGGAGCUACCAUGGCUCCCCAGGAAGAGCCUACCUCAUGGAACCUCAUGGAACACACAAUUCAAGAAAGUGCAAUGAGGGCCAUGUUUUAUGAAUGCACUCUUUAUUUUUAUUGCACUUUUAUUGCAUUAAAUCAUACAUUAAGUGAUUCUCCUUGUAAACUAUUCCAAUCAUACAUUUACUACUGAAGCCACUUAACUCCCCUCUCCCCAGCCAGGCCCCUCCCUCAAAGUAAGUAGUCUGUUAUCCAUUUGAUGGAUAGCUGUUGAAAUAUUUUUCUACAUGUAUACAUCCUAAUAUGUUCACAUGCAGGAAUAUAUAGCUUUAGUUUUGUUGACAUCUUUUGAAGAGGUCUGAAAGGGUAUCCAGUGAGAAGUCUCCCUCUUACCUCAUCCCUCAGCUGUCCCUUCCUCUCCCAGAGCAGCCAGCCAGGUCACCAGUUUCCAGCAUUUCCUUCCAGCUAGGCUAGGCCAGGAGUCAGCAAACUUUGUCUGUAAAGGGCCAGAUCGUAAAUACUUCAGGCUUUGCAGGCUAAUGGUCUCUGCCCCAACUGCUUAACUCUGCCAUUGUAUUGCAAAGGCAGCCAUAGACAAUAUAUAAAUGAAUGAAUGUGGCUGUAUGCCAAUAAAACUUUAUUUAUAGACACAGAAAUUUGAAUGUCAUAUCAUUUUCAAGUGUCAUGAAAUAUUAUUCUUCUUUAGUUUUUCAACUACUUAAAAAUCUAAGCACCAUUCUUAGCUCCCUGCUGUACCAAGACAGGUGGCAGACUGGAUUUGACAUGUGAACUGGAGCUUGCCGACUCCUGGUCUGUGCAUAUGAAAACCAAGUAGGGAUGGACGUUCUUUCCCCUCUUUUUUACAUGAGGGGAACCUGCUAUGCUAAAGUGCUUUUCUCACUUUGCAAUAUAUCUUAGAGAUCAUGCCACAUGAGUUUGUACAAAAGGUCCUUGUUUUUGCCUUUGGCAUAACAUUACAUUGUAUUCCAUUAGUAUAUUUUACCGUAAUUUCCUUAGCCAAUCACUUACUUACCGGUAUCAGGCUAUUUCCUUCUGCUACUUAAAAACAAUGUUGCAUUGAAAACAUUGUACAUAUUUGUAUAUGUUUUUAUAAGAUUUUAUUGAAAUAUAGUUAAUGUACCACCUAAUUCACCCUUUUUAAGUGUACAUUUCGAUGGUUUUUAGUAUAUUUAGAGAGCUGUACAACCAAUUUCACAGUAAAUUUUAAAACAUUUUAAUUACUCCAGAAAGAAAUUCCACACCCCUUAGCUCUCAUCUUUCAGUCCUGUCCACCCCUUCCAGCUCAAGACAACCACUAUUUUCUGUCUCUACGGAUUUGCUUAUUUUGGACAUUCAUAUAAAUGGAAUCAUACAAUACGUGGUAUUUUGUGAAUGGCUUUGUUGAUUUUGCAUAAACUUGUUAAGACUUAUCCAUGUUGUAGCAUGCACCAGUACUUCAUUCCUUUUGAUUGCAGAAUAAUGUUCCAUUGGAUGGCUAUACAGUAUUUUAUUUAUCCAUUCACCAGUUCUUGGGUUAUUAUAAUAAUGCUGCUAUGAACAUUCACGUAUGAAUUUUUGUAUGAAAACAUGUUUUUAUUUCUGUUGGUUACAUACCUAGGAGUGGAAUUGCUGGAUCACAUGGCCAUUCUAUGUUUAACCAUUUGAGGAACUGUCAGACUAUUUUCCAAGUGGCUGCACCAUUUUACGUUCCCAUUUGCAGUAUAUGAGGGUUCCAAUUUCUCCACAUCCUCACCAACAUUUGUCUUUAUAUUUUGUUUUGGUUUUUUUAGACAGAGUCUUGCUCUGUCACCCAGACUGGAAUGCAGAGGUUGAUCAUAGCUCACUGCAGCCUUGAUCGCCCAGGCUCAAGAGAUCCUCCCGCUUCAGCCUCCCUAGUAACUGGGACUACAGGUGUGUGCCACCACACCUGGCUAAUUUUUAAAAAUUAUUUGUAGAGACAGGGUUUCCUUAUGUUGCCCAGGC
RNAcentral lists this long non-coding RNA (6374 nucleotides) under Homo sapiens (human). Its description in RNAcentral is "HSALNT0096107". Lineage: Eukaryota; Metazoa; Chordata; Mammalia; Primates; Hominidae. The record is from RNAcentral.